UUGCCCUAACAAAACAAACAUCGCCUCUUCUCCUCAAUACACAGACAUCAUCCUUCUCCUCCACAACCAACAGCAUCUUUCUCCUAACAGCCGCCAUCAUCUCCUCCUCUCAUCGACAACUCCGCCGCCCUCCAUCGACGUCGCAAUAGUCCUCCAUCGCAGCGCCCUUACAGCCUCCGUUCUCCUCCGCCGCCCUCCAUCUCCACCGGCUCCUCCAACCACCGGCCUCCUCCCUCCACCGAUGCUUCGUUCAUAGAGAAAGGCCUUAAUAUUGUCGGCUGGGUAUGUUAUUUGAUGUAUUGCAACCUAAUCCAUAACAUCUUAGCUACCAAUCUAAUCUUUUUGUUGACCUAUUUUUGAGGUUAAAUCAGUUGGUAACGGAGGGUAGGCCACAUGAGAUAAUUGAUAUGUGAACCAUGUUAAAUUUGAGCUGUUAUUUUCAUUGUAUAACAGUAUCGAUUCAAGCCCUAAUUAUUAAUUGUUUGGUUAGAUUGGUAUAUUGA
This 503-nucleotide long non-coding RNA is filed under the name Helianthus annuus (common sunflower). RNAcentral describes it as "hypothetical non coding rna". The record is from RNAcentral. Lineage: Eukaryota; Viridiplantae; Streptophyta; Magnoliopsida; Asterales; Asteraceae.